Molecule: ribosomal RNA, 253 nt
Filed under: uncultured bacterium
Lineage: Bacteria
Description: partial 16S ribosomal RNA
Rfam family: Bacterial small subunit ribosomal RNA
Source: RNAcentral
UACGUAGGGUGCAAGCGUUAAUCGGAAUUACUGGGCGUAAAGCGUGCGCAGGCGGCUUUGCAAGACAGAUGUGAAAUCCCCGGGCUCAACCUGGGAACUGCAUUUGUAACUGCAUGGCUGGAGUGCGGCAGAGGGGGAUGGAAUUCCGCGUGUAGCAGUGAAAUGCGUAGAUAUGCGGAGGAACACCGAUGGCGAAGGCAAUCCCCUGGGCCUGCACUGACGCUCAUGCACGAAAGCGUGGGGAGCAAACAGG